CCUACGGGUGGCAGCAGUGGGGAAUAUUGCGCAAUGGGCGAAAGCCUGACGCAGCGACGCCGCGUGAGGGAUGAAGGUCUUCGGAUCGUAAACCUCUGUCAGCAGGGAAGAACGGUCACUGUGCUAAUCAGCAGUGAAUUGACGGUACCUGCAAAGGAAGCACCGGCUAACUCCGUGCCAGCAGCCGCGGUAAUACGGAGGGUGCGAGCGUUAAUCGGAAUUACUGGGCGUAAAGCGCUCGUAGGCGGUAUGUCAAGUCAAGGGUGAAAUCCCCGCGCUCAACGGGGGAACUGCCUGUGAAACUGGCAGACUGGAGUGUGGUAGAGGAUAGUGGAAUUCCAGGUGUAGGGGUGAAAUCCGUAGAUAUCGGGAGGAACAUCAGUGGCGAAGGCGACUAUCUGGCACAUAACUGACGCUGAGGAGCGAAAGCGUGGGUAGCAAACAGGAUUAGAUACCCUGGUAGUC
RNAcentral lists this ribosomal RNA (465 nucleotides) under uncultured bacterium. Its description in RNAcentral is "partial 16S ribosomal RNA". It matches the Rfam family "Bacterial small subunit ribosomal RNA", at positions 338 to 795 of the family's 1533-position model. The record is from RNAcentral.